AUUGAACGCUGGCGGCAUGCCUUACACAUGCAAGUCGAACGGCAGCACGGGAGCAAUCCUGGUGGCGAGUGGCGAACGGGUGAGUAAUAUAUCGGAACGUGCCCAGUCGUGGGGGAUAACGUAGCGAAAGCUACGCUAAUACCGCAUACGAUCUAUGGAUGAAAGCGGGGGAUCGCAAGACCUCGCGCGAUUGGAGCGGCCGAUAUCAGAUUAGCUAGUUGGUGGGGUAAAAGCUCACCAAGGCGACGAUCUGUAGCUGGUCUGAGAGGACGACCAGCCACACUGGAACUGAGACACGGUCCAGACUCCUACGGGAGGCAGCAGUGGGGAAUUUUGGACAAUGGGCGAAAGCCUGAUCCAGCAAUGCCGCGUGCAGGACGAAGGCCUUCGGUUGUAACUGCUUUGUACAGAACGAAAAGUACUGCCCUAAUACGGUGGGCGUCAUGACGGUACCGUAAGAAUAAGACACCGGCGUAACUACGUGCCACG
RNAcentral lists this ribosomal RNA (489 nucleotides) under uncultured bacterium. RNAcentral's name for it is "bacterial SSU rRNA". It matches the Rfam family "Bacterial small subunit ribosomal RNA", at positions 30 to 512 of the family's 1533-position model. The record is from RNAcentral.